GAUGAACGCUGGCGGCGUGCCUAAUACAUGCAAGUCGAGCGGAAAGACGAGAGUGCUUGCACUCGCUGGCGUUAGCGGCGGGUGAGAGGGUAACACGUUGGUAACCUACCUAUGAGAAUGUGAUGAAUUCGGGAAAACUGACCGAAUACCGUCUAAUCUUUAUCUUCGCAGGUGGCAAUAGUGAAAGGCGGUUGUGGUGUCACCUGUAGAUCGACCCGCGGGUUAUUAGGUAGUUGGUGAGGUAACGGCUGACCAAGGGAACGGUACAUAGCCGACGUGAGAGGGUGAUCGGCCACACUGGGACUGAGACACGGCACAGACUCCGACGGGAGGCAGCAGUAGGGAAUCGUCGGCAAUGGACGAAAGUCUGAAGGAGCAACGCCGCGCGGGUGCAGCAGGUCUGCGGAUCGUAAAACUCUGUUGUAAGUGAAGAACGAGUACGUCAGUAGCUGAGCGUACCUUGACGGUACCUUAAGAGAAAGCAACGGCUAACUACGUG
Molecule: ribosomal RNA, 499 nt
Filed under: uncultured bacterium
Lineage: Bacteria
Description: partial 16S ribosomal RNA
Rfam family: Bacterial small subunit ribosomal RNA
Source: RNAcentral